RNAcentral lists this ribosomal RNA (138 nucleotides) under Neoceratosperma eucalypti. Its description in RNAcentral is "partial 18S ribosomal RNA". It matches the Rfam family "Eukaryotic small subunit ribosomal RNA", at positions 1695 to 1830 of the family's 1831-position model. Lineage: Eukaryota; Fungi; Ascomycota; Dothideomycetes; Mycosphaerellales; Mycosphaerellaceae. The record is from RNAcentral.
GGCUCAGUGAGGCCUUCGGACUGGCUCAGGGAGGUCGGCAACGACCACCCAGAGCCGGAAAGUUGGUCAAACUCGGUCAUUUAGAGGAAGUAAAAGUCGUAACAAGGUCUCCGUAGGUGAACCUGCGGAGGGAUCAUU